UACGGAGACUGCAAGCGUUACUCGGAUUCACUGGGCGUAAAGGAUGUGUAGGCGGUUAGGUAUGUCAGGUGUGAAAGCUCGGGGCUCAACUCCGAAAUUGCGCCUGAAACUACCUAACUCGAGUCUCGGAGGGGUAAGUGGAAUUCCCGGUGUAGCGGUGAAAUGCAUAGAUAUCGGGAGGAACACCAAUGGCGAAGGCAACUUACUGGACGAGAACUGACGCUGAGGCAUGAAAGCAUGGGUAGCGAAAGGG
This 253-nucleotide ribosomal RNA is filed under the name uncultured bacterium. RNAcentral describes it as "partial 16S ribosomal RNA". It matches the Rfam family "Bacterial small subunit ribosomal RNA", at positions 524 to 776 of the family's 1533-position model. The record is from RNAcentral.